This is a long non-coding RNA of Chelonia mydas (Green sea turtle), 2062 nucleotides long. RefSeq lists it as uncharacterized. The transcript is spliced from 2 exons. NCBI's taxonomy places the organism in Eukaryota, Metazoa, Chordata, Testudines, Cheloniidae. The record is from RefSeq and is a predicted model, not a curated record.
GAAAUCCACUGAAGGUCAUGGAUCUGGCUUCCACCUCCCCCUUCCAAGUAACUGUCACCAGCUGGUUCCGUGAUGCUUCCCACAACACGGGAGCUGCUUGGAGAUGGGGAAACCAUGACAAUAAAUCUUCAUCAACCCCUUUUCUCUGCCACGCGCAGCCUUACAGCGUUUUCUACCUCAUGCAAUAGGGCCAAAAGUGGAUCCAAUGCGGUAAAAUCAUCUAAAUUGGUUCAGAAACCUCAAACCAUCACUGGUCCCAUCUGACCUUAACCUUUAUGGAUCUAUGAUGAUUCCUUCCUGCAGGCCUAUGCAGUACUAACCAGCUCGUGUUGUUGGAGUGUUUUCAGACCUUCCUUGGAAAGAUGGAGGAGAAGAGAGACUUUUUUCUCACUGAAAGAUUUUUACCUUUGCUUUUUAUAUUUCUACGUGGUUCAGCACUUUUAUUUAGUAUUAGUGUUUCUUGCUGCCCUUGCUCUGCACCCUCCAGCCCCUUAUCCAGCAAUCGCCUAAGCCCUUGCUGUCCUUCAGAUAUGAAUCUGUGUUUGCUUAAAUGUCUCCAAAGCUGCUAGUGAAAAAGGCCAUGUAACUCUUUAGUGAUGGGCCUCAAACAACUGAGAUCAGAAAGGCAACCAAAGCUUCAGUUCCUUCUCCCAGCCUCACAUGGAUUAUCAAAUUUGUUGUCUUUCCAAACCUGGGCUGCAAAUAUUGCAAGAACAGGCUCCCAGGAGACUUCAGCAAUCUCUGCUGUCAGUGUUUCUGGGAGGAUAGCACCAGGAGAUCAGCAUCUCUCAUGGUAAUCCGGCAUUUGUGCUUGCUGUCACCUGGCUGGGACAUCAGCAGUUGUGCCUAGUGGUUGGAGCAGGAAUUGGAAGCCAGGAAUCAGAGCCUAGGCUCAGAGCUGGAGUCAGAGGCAAGGUGCCUGAGCCAGGGGGCUGCGCCAAAGUCAGAGGUCAGGAAUUGGGGCCAACAGUCAGUACUGGGUUACCUGGAGUGAGGUGAGGCUGGAAUAAGGAGGAGCUAUCCCAGCUUGGGUGAAUGCUUUGAGCAGCCAUUGAACUGCUACUGUUGCUGGGUUUAGGAGCUGGUCUGCUGACUUUUCCAACCAAUCAGGCAGCCUACUACAAGCCAGCUGCACUCGUCAGUUGCCUGGGGAUUGUCUCUGCUGCCUGACGCUUCCAAUCCUGGUUGGAACCAAGAGAAACUCACUAUGAAACAUUAGACUGGCUGCCUCUGUUUUCAGCUUCUUGCUGCUUUGAAUUUCGGCCACAUGCUCUGUGUCCACCACUACGUCCGCUCUCAAAGUGUGCUUGCUUCAGUGACUGGGCUUGGAAUACAUUUACCUCACUGAUUUCACUUGCAAUGCCUCUCCAGAAGUGAGGAGUGUAUUCCCUUGAAAGUGGAAUCACUGAAGGAAAGAAGAGAGAAAGGUCACACAGCCAUUCAAGACUAAAUGAGACUGCUGCAAUCUAGUGAAUGCUCUUUUUCUCCUUUUUUUAUGGGUUUCUCUCAGUCUGUUCUUGGUUUGUUCGUUUUUUUGUUUUGGUGGGAGAACUAGUAGGAUGGGAAUAAAGUCAUGUCUAUGCGAGGAUAGCCCUGUCCUUUCAGGUCUCAUGUGUGCUGUGUUUGUUUGCUCAGUCAGUUCCUGUAUAUGGUGGAUUCUUUUUGCUUCGCCAUUGUUUGGAAAAUGGAGAGUGGAGUAGAGAGACUUAGGCCUUGACUCAACAAGGUACUUAAACAUGUACUUAAGACUCACUCUCAAUGGGGUUUAAACAUAGGCUUAAGUGCUUUUCUGAAUUAGAGCCUGGGAUGGGAGAAAUGUACUUGGCCGUAAAUUGAGAGAAUGAGUCAGUGGAGGGCACAGAAGUGCAAGAGUAGGGUGGAGGGAGAAAUGAGAAGGUAAAAGAGAAGGUCAGAAAGAGGGUAAUUAAGGAAAUGCAGCAAAGAGAAAUUAUACAAGAGAGGAUUAGAAAUGUACAAUUGGUGUCAGUUCCCAAGAACAUAAAUCAUAUGCAGUUGGAAAGGAGAUAGCAGCAUAGCUGAAGGAAACCUAAGGAUGGUGGUA